GUGGGGAAUAUUGGACAAUGGGGGGAACCCUGAUCCAGCCAUGCCGCGUGUGUGAAGAAGGCCUUUUGGUUGUAAGGCACUUUAAGCGAGGAGGAGGCUACCGAGAGUAAUACUCUUGGAUAGUGGACGUUACUCGCAGAAUAAGCACCGGCUAACUCUGUGCCAGCAGCCGCGGUAAUACAGAGGGUGCAAGCGUUAAUCGGAUUUACUGGGCGUAAAGCGCGCGUAGGUGGCCAAUUAAGUCAAAUGUGAAAUCCCCGAGCUUAACUUGGGAAUUGCAUUCGAUACUGGUUGGCUAGAGUAUGGGAGAGGAUGGUAGAAUUCCAGGUGUAGCGGUGAGAUGCGUAGAGAUCUGGAGGAAUACCGAUGGCGAAGGCAGCCAUCUGGCCUAAUACUGACACUGAGGUGCGAAAGCAUGGGGAGCAAACAGGAUUAGAUACCCGAGUAGUCC
This 451-nucleotide ribosomal RNA is filed under the name uncultured bacterium. RNAcentral's name for it is "partial 16S ribosomal RNA". It matches the Rfam family "Bacterial small subunit ribosomal RNA", at positions 354 to 796 of the family's 1533-position model. The record is from RNAcentral.